AGUUUGUCUCUCUCUCUCUCUCUCUCUCUCUCUCUCUCUCUCUCUCUUUCUCUCUCUCUCUCUCUCUGUGUGUGUGUGUGUGUGUGUGUGAGAGAGAGAGAGAGAGAGAGAGAGAACAAUU
Podarcis lilfordi (Lilford's wall lizard) is the source of this 121-nucleotide non-coding RNA. The record is from the annotation of a GenBank genome assembly. NCBI's taxonomy places the organism in Eukaryota, Metazoa, Chordata, Lepidosauria, Squamata, Lacertidae.